UGUAAGCCUAAGGUUUCCUGGGCAAGGUCAAUCCGCCCAGGGUUAGUCGGUCCCUAAGGCGAGGCUGAAAGGCGUAGUCGAUGGGAAGCAGGUCAACAUUCCUGCACCACUGUCCGGCGUUUGCACCGUGGGGUGACGGCGUGUGGAUGAAGAUCCGGUUAGUAGAUUCCGGUUCCUGGGAAGGGGCUGCUGAUAGGCAAAUCCGUCAGCGCACCCCCGACUUGGGAGGAGCCCUAGUGGUGAACUCUUCUGAGGUGCGUCCAAGAAAAACCUCGUUCGGAAGUCGAAACAGUGACCGUACCUAAUCUGACACAGGAAGGCAGGGCGAGUAUCCCAAGGCGCUCGAGAGAACCCUCGUUAAGGAAUUCGGCAAAAUGACCCCGUAAGUUCGCGACAAGGGGUGCCACCGCAAGGUGGCCACAGCAAAGGGGCGGGAGCGACUGUUUACUAAAAACACAGGUCUCAGCAAAGUCGAAAAGACGCCGUAUUGAGACUGACGCUUGCCCGCUGCUGGAACGUUAAGGUGACUGGUCAGCGCAAGCGAAGCUGGAAGCCGAAGCGCCAGUGAAGGGCGGCCGUAACUAUGACGGUCCUAAGGUAGCGAAAUUCCUUGUCGGGUAAUUUCCGACCCGCACGAAUAGCGUAACGACUCCCGUACUGUCUCGACGAGGGGCUCGGCGAAAUUGUAACUGUGGUGAAGAUGCCACAUACCUGCACCAAGACGGAAAGACCCCGUGAACCUUCACUACACCCUAAUACUGGCUCUAGGCAUGCCAUGUGUAGCAUAGGUGGGAGACGUUGAUCUGGAGGCGCCAGCUUCCAGGGAGUCAUCAGUGAAAUACCACUCUUGGUAUGUUUGGUGUCUAACCUGCGACCGUAAUCCGGCGUGGGGACAGUGUUAGGCGGGUAGUUUGACUGGGGCGGUCUCCUCCUAAAAGGUAACGGAGGAGUGCAAAGGUACCCUCAGUGCGUUUGGCAACCGCACAGCGAGCGUAAAGGUAGAAGGGUGCUUGACUGCGAGACCAAUAAGUCGAGCAGGUACGAAAGUAGGCCUUAGUGAUCCGGUGGUUCCGUGUGGAAGGGCCAUCGCCUAUCAGAUAAAAGGUACUCCGGGGAUAACAGGCUGAUCUCCCCCAAGAGUCCAUAUCGACGGGGAGGUUUGGCACCUCGAUGUCGGCUCAUCGCAUCCUGGGGCUGAAGGCGGUCCCAAGGGUUGGUCUGUUCGCCCAUUAAAGCGGUACGUGAGCUGGGUUUAGACCGUCGCGAGACAGGUCGGUCCCUAUCUGGUGUGGGUGUAGGACAGUUGAGAAGACUCUUUCCUAGUACGAGAGGAUUGGAAAGAACAGUACCUCUGGUGUUCCUGUCAUCGCGCUAGCGGUGCUUGCAGGGUAGCCAUGUAUGGAAAGGAUAACCGCUGAAAGCAUCUAAGCGGGAAGCCAACUUCAAGACGAACUGUCCCAUGAGACGCGUGGAAGACUACCACGUUGAUAGGCCGGCGGUGUAAGUGCAGUGAUGCACUCAGCUUACCGGUACUAACCAGUCGAUCGGCUUGACCCU
RNAcentral lists this ribosomal RNA (1557 nucleotides) under metagenome. Its description in RNAcentral is "bacterial LSU rRNA". It matches the Rfam family "Bacterial large subunit ribosomal RNA", at positions 1338 to 2925 of the family's 2925-position model. The record is from RNAcentral.